CUGCGCCGUAGCGUCGUCUGGCGCGCCGCUGUCUUCCAUGGGCGUCGUCGGCUCGUCACUCCUCAUUCUCUCCUCAUUCUCUCCGCGGCGGCGUCUGCGUUCGAGGGAGAAACAGCUGGCUGAAAGCAGAGAACCCAGGAGAGGAUUCUGGGAAGGUCCUUGGGGAUGGUAAAGCCACCAGAUAGGAGAUAUGAGUUCUCUAAGGGCAAAGACCUGUUUUCGCUUCUUCAUUCUUGUGACUUCAGUGCCUUGAAUGGUGCCUGGCAUAUGGAAGGCAUUUGUGUUUUAACAACCAUCUGGCAAGAUUCCUGAAAUUUUGACACUCACCUCUCAUGAGCCCAGUACAAGCUGGUUUUGGAAUUUGGGUCCAAAGGAGAAGAACAAAAUGCUCAGUGUAUUAGAGGAAUAUCCGAACUCUGAGGAGAACAUAAGACUCCUGGUUCCUACUCUAUCCCCUACUCUGGCAGAAGUGCCCUAAAUGGUCUGAGAAAAACAAGUGGACUUCUUUAACCAUCACAAUAACAAAAAGUGUUCUUUCUAGGCAGCAGAUAAAACACUGGAGAGUGGGGCAGUUGGGAGAAGGGAGGGAACACUACUGAGUACUCCUCAGGACCCAAGCACUGUGUGCAGCGCCUUCUGCCGGUUCCCUCACACAGUGCUUGAGAACCUCUGAAGUAGGCAGUCUGACAGCCAAGAAGUGCUAGAACUGUGUUUUAAAUUGAUCUGCUGGAAACCAAAGACCCUAUGCUGUGCUGAUGCCAUGCCUGUCCUUCACAGAUCAGAACGCAGAAGUCUGGAAUUGGGUCAUCCUCACCUCACGACACCCAACACAAGAACGGUUCCCAGCACAGAAGAGAGUCCACAAAUGCUUGUUGAAUACAGUCAUUUCAGAACAAUGAGUUAACAUCUGAGUGUUUGACUUGCAGCGUGUCAGUUGGGAAGAAACUCCACAACUACCCCAGGUCCAGUGAUACUCCUUGAGUCGACUCAGAAGCAGAUAAUGGGAGACACCAAUCCUUGUAUUGUAUUAACAGCUCCUGGUUUACUCAUAGGUGGCACUGCUUGUCAGCACUCCUUGGCACGCUGCGAAGUCAGAUGCAGAAGUUGGAAAUCUGGAUGCUGACUGAGGAGAUAUGAUUGUGCUGAUUAAGAUGUGCAGUGAAGAGACAAGUGAACCCCAUGGCUCAGCGACACAGUGUGGACAGAGGAAUUGUCUUCAUGAACAAGUGUUGGAAGAGAAGACCUGAGGAACACAGAAACAUGGCUGACCUGAUCCUCGCCAUGCUGUCCAAGAUAGAGCUGGCUUAGGUGGGGUGUCUCUGCCAGGACUGUUUCUGCCUUAAUCCUGCCUUGAAGGGUCAGGUGAACCUGAUUUUGUCUUGGGGUUCAGGGAGGGAACAACAAGAUAUGGUAGAGGAUACAUAGCACACUUUACCCUGAGCCAGAAUCCCCGGGACAAGACCCUAACCCCUUCUCCUGACUCCUAACCCCCAGCUGACAGCUACCCACAAUCCUCUGGGUGUCUUCCUGUGGAAGGCGAAGACUCAGCUAGGAAAAGAAUUGAGUGAUACUGUUGUCAAGGGGGAUUUCACAGGGGUGUUCCAUUGGCCACUGGGAGAAAAACGUGUAUUAAAAUUUUUUUCUGAGGAAAUUGAAAUCCAAACAUCUGUCUAACCAAGACUAGAUGGAAAGUGAAUCUUGAUUCCAUAUUAAACACAUUAGUCCUGAAAGAGAAGAAUAAGUCCUUACAUUGAUAGGAGCAGUGAGGCUUCUCUGCAGGUUUUAGAGUAGUUCUGAGUAAAAAACAAGAGUGGUCAGAAUCCAUUAAGAAUCUGAAAAUAUAGUAUAGCUGAGAACUCUGCUCUCCUCCUUUACUAAAUUAUUUAUCUGGGCUACUGAUAAUUAAUUUCCCGAAUUCCCUAGUUUCCCCACCCUCUCAUUUAUACAUGUGGUUUCUCAGCAAUGGACAGGGAAGGGAGUCUGAGACACAGGGAGUCAUGGGUGGUCUAUACUCUGGAUGGUGACUAAUUGAGACUUGGCUGUCUUUCAUGAUAUGCCUUUUAUGGAUGGAGGCAAAAGAAGUACUCAGUGAUCUCAAGGAAUACUCCAGGGUCUCCCAGCCAGAUUGGCUAGGAAAAACUGACCAAUAAGUAAACAUUGACUGAGUACCUACUCUGUGGCAGGCACAGUGUAAGGCUUUGGUUAUACAUGGUCCCUGCCUUCACAGAACUCAGUCUGGCGAGGAAGGUAGAUUUUUAAACAAAUAAACACACCAACUUGCAUAAUUUGCAGAUUGUGAUGAAUGAGUAACUACUAUGAGACAGUUAACAGUGGGGAUAUGAUACAGAUAGGGGAGUUGGGGUCAAGAAAGUUCUCUCUGACGAGGUGACAGAUAAAGCCUAGAACACUGCUUCUCAAAUUCCAAUGUGCAUCAGAAUCACCUGGAGAGUUUGUUAAAAAAAUAAAAAAGGUUUUCUGAGUACCCUCCCCACCAGAGUUUCUGAUUCAGUAGGUCUGAUGUGGGUCCCAAAACUCUGUGUUUCUAAUAAAUUACUGGAUGAUACUGAGAUUGCUGGUUUGGAGGUCACACUUUGAGAACCACGAGGCUGGAGGAUUGGUAGGAACUAGCCAGGUAAAGAGAGUGGAGGGAACACCAGUACAGCAGAGGGGGCAGCAUGUACAAAUGCCCCAGUGUGGAAGAGAUCUUGGGGGCUUCAGGUAAUAGAAAGUGUGUCUACAAGGCAGUGAAUUAGUGAACCUGUAGUGAUGAGGUAAUGUUAGAGGUGUACCUGAUGAGGUAAUGUUAGAGAGGAAAUUAGUUAGAAAUUUCCUAUCCUGAUACUCACUCCAACAGAAACACUCCAGGGGUACUUUGUCUAAGAUUAAUGGUUCCAUUGACCCUUGGAGAUGUCCUACUGCAACAUGGGGCUAAUGGAAUAGUGCUGACCCUGAGACAGUGUGAAGAUUCAAAAUGGUGAGGUAUGCAAAGGGCUGAGCACAGAGCAAAUGCUCAGUCUAUUCUAGAUGUCUGUCCUCCCACCUUUCCUGACUCAAAACUUGGCCCUGUCUAUAGUUUAGCUAUAAGAGGACAUGUUCCUGAAUUUGUGCUAAGGUGCUAACCUACAGCUUCAAGCAAAAAGAGUUAAUGUCGAAGUGACCCAUGGUAUCUAAACUGGGAUAAGGUUAAAUAGUUGGGUAUAGAUAAGUAAUCUGGACACCACUUCCAAAGAGCAGGUGUGCAUGUGUGUUUUCUUACAUCUCAUGCAAUUCAUAAAUGUCACGGAUUUUAAAUCAAAGAAAGCAUGGAUUGGGUUUUGGAGCCAAAGUGCACAGUUGACAUUAUGCCAAUUCAAUUUAGACCACAUUUACUCAGUGCUCACUCUGUGCCAGGUGCUAUUCUAGGUGUUGGGAAGACAGAAGUAGGUGAUCAAAGUUAGGUCCCUGCUCUUGAAGAGCUUCAACGCUCACUGGGAUAUGGGCGUAUAAGUAACGUAGAGCAAUGGGAUAAAAGCCACAACAAAGAUCUGUACAAGGGCAAUAAAAACUCAGGAGACAGCAGUUUUGCUGGGGGGUAGUCAGAGAAAGUCAGAGACAGGAAGUGACAUCAGAGCCAAGUCUAGAAAGGAAACAUCUAGAGAAUGAGCAGAACUGAAGGAUAGAUGAACAAACCUCCUUUAGGAACUUUUUUGUUAUUGUUUUAAGAUCUGACCUAAAUCAUCAUUAUGAGCUUCUAGAAGAUACAUGGCCACAUGGUGUUGAAUUUGAUUUAAAAUAUUGCAUAAACUGUUAUAUAUAGAAACACAUAUGGAAACAAUCUGAAAAUAUUUCUCCUCAAAUAUAGUGCCAUUUGCUUUUAUGAAUUUGCUAUUUCUGGAUGAAAAAGUGAAAUAUGAUUUGGUCUUCUGAGAAUCAGAAGAAACUGUAUCGCCCUCCCAAGUAAAAAUCAUUUUGGUGGUUAAUUCCUUCAUUUAUGUAGUCAGUCAACAAACAUUUAGUUAGAAAUUUCAGUUUUUGAAGCACUGCCAUUGAGGCCAUUGAGGGGCAACAAAGAUAUACAAGAUACUGUCCUGCCCUCAGGAUUCCUCAGGGGUUUAGAAGUGAGAAAAACACCUGAAUGCAAAUAAUUCUAACACAAGUAGGUGAUAAGUAAUACGAGUGAGUACAAGUAAAAUAAUCCAAGUAUCUUGAGGAGAACAAGCUAUCUCUUGAUUGGAAUAAUCAUAGAAAGCUUGAGAAUUUAUGGAGAAGCAAUUUGCACUAGGGCUUUUAUAAUGAGAAGGCAUUGGACAUAUAGAAACCAGGGCAGGGAAGAUAUUUCAGACAGAGGUAGAUUUGUGAACAAAAAGGCUGCGAGAUCACUGAGAAAUGGCACUUUUCCAUGUUUACAAGUAUGAUUUGGGGAAAGAACUGGAAUAGGUAGAUGUCAGCCUCACAGUCAAGUAUGAACUUGAUUCCACUGGCUGUGACUUCUUAGAAUUUGAAAUGCCAAGCAUCUGUCACUAGGUUUCUUGUACACUUGUUUUAGUUGGUAUCUCAGGCCUGACCUUCAACUUGGCAUAAUUUCAUCCAGCCGAUAGGAUAUGUUUUAAAAAGUCAGUCUGUCACAUAUGGACCCGCAAAUGUAUGGCCAACUAAUCUUUGACAAAGCAGAAAAGAGUAUCCAAUGGAAAAAAGGCAGUAACUUCAGCAAAUGGUUCUGGGGGAAUUGGACAGCGAUAUGCAGAAGGAUGCAACUGAACCACUUUCGUACACCAU
Long non-coding RNA from Leopardus geoffroyi (Geoffroy's cat), 4755 nucleotides. RefSeq lists it as uncharacterized. The transcript has 6 exons. The record is from RefSeq and is a predicted model, not a curated record. NCBI's taxonomy places the organism in Eukaryota, Metazoa, Chordata, Mammalia, Carnivora, Felidae.